This 119-nucleotide ribosomal RNA is filed under the name Lepisosteus oculatus (spotted gar). Lineage: Eukaryota; Metazoa; Chordata; Actinopteri; Semionotiformes; Lepisosteidae. The record is from RNAcentral.
GCCAGCAGCCAUGUUAUCCUGCAACUUACAACUGGCAACCCACAGAAGCUCAGCAGGUGUGAGCCUAGUCAGUACCUGGAUGGGAGACCUCCUGAGAAAAACUAAGGUUGUUGCUGGAA